Molecule: ribosomal RNA, 468 nt
Filed under: uncultured bacterium
Lineage: Bacteria
Description: bacterial SSU rRNA
Rfam family: Bacterial small subunit ribosomal RNA
Source: RNAcentral
AUGGGCGAAAGCCUGAUCCAGCCAUGCCGCGUGCAGGAUGAAGGCCUUCGGGUUGUAAACUGCUUUUGUACGGAACGAAAAGCCUCUUUCUAAUAAAGAGGGGUCAUGACGGUACCGUAAGAAUAAGCACCGGCUAACUACGUGCCAGCAGCCGCGGUAAUACGUAGGGUGCAAGCGUUAAUCGGAAUUACUGGGCGUAAAGCGUGCGCAGGCGGUUUUGUAAGACAGAGGUGAAAUCCCCGGGCUCAACCUGGGAACUGCCUUUGUGACUGCAAGGCUGGAGUGCGGCAGAGGGGGAUGGAAUUCCGCGUGUAGCAGUGAAAUGCGUAGAUAUGCGGAGGAACACCGAUGGCGAAGGCAAUCCCCUGGGCCUGCACUGACGCUCAUGCACGAAAGCGUGGGGAGCAAACAGGAUUAGAUACCCUGGUAGUCCACGCCCUAAACGAUGUCAACUGGUUGUUGGGUCUU